UACGUAGGGUGCGAGCGUUAAUCGGAAUUACUGGGCGUAAAGCGUGCGCAGGCGGUGCGCCAAGCUCGAUGUGAAAGCCCCGGGCUUAACCUGGGAAUUGCAUUGAGGACUGGCGUGCUCGAGUGCGGCAGAGGGGGGUGGAAUUCCACGUGUAGCAGUGAAAUGCGUAGAGAUGUGGAGGAACGCCGAUGGCGAAGGCAGCCCCCUGGGCCGACACUGACGCUCAUGCACGAAAGCGUGGGGAGCAAACAGG
RNAcentral lists this ribosomal RNA (253 nucleotides) under uncultured bacterium. RNAcentral's name for it is "partial 16S ribosomal RNA". It matches the Rfam family "Bacterial small subunit ribosomal RNA", at positions 524 to 776 of the family's 1533-position model. The record is from RNAcentral.